AAUACCCACUUAGAAGUGUUGAUGGGUCAAGGCAAAUCCCGAGAGAAAGUGAGAUCUCUAAACUGAACCAAACUAGCAAACAGUGAAAGGGUAAAGGUUUUAGGUAAAACUGGGGACUUAAUGUGGCUAAGGGAAUGGUACGUGCAAAGACUUGGAUGUGGGCAGAGCCUCUGAACAUCUGACAAACUCUGAGGGCUCCAUGGUUUGGAGUCUACAGUAGAAAGGAGAAAAGAAAUAGUAAAAGAUGGGGCUGGAGAGAAAGUAAAGCCAGCUCGUUAACCAUUUAUUAGGUGAAGGAGUUUGGACAUUAACCUGAUGUCAACGAGGAGCAAACAAUUCAGAUUGUGGGAUCAGUGGACACAAUCCCCCUGUCCAGCAGAGCCAGGUCAAUUAACUCCUUUGUUUCAACUCCUCUGUUUGGAGAAUGGCUCUCUCAUUGCUUGUCACUCAGCUUUCUCCCAUGAAAUAUAAUGAAGAAGGAAGUAGCACUGACAAAUUGAAAUUGAAUGGAACUGAGAAUUCAAGGAUCUAUGAUUUGCACCUGGUCCGCUAGUUAAAAUGAAUUUCUCUGUUAUUUGUUGGAGAGACUUAAGUACCACCUGUGAGAAAAGAAAGAAAAAAGGUCAAAUAACAGAAGUAAAGCAAAGAAUAUUUAAAUUGGGACAUAGAAAGAAGACGAUUUUGGAAAGAAAAAAAAGAGUGUGGGGGAGAAGUUGAGAAGGAACGUCAGCACAUCCUGUAAUUCAAGAGGGAGAGGAGAGAAUCUGCGACUUGUUUUUCCUCUUGUAGGCAAAUUACAGUAAAACUUGAAACUAAGAAGUAAGGUGUGGAAAAAGCUGGCAGUGUAAGUGUGUGAAAAGGUAGAAUAAGCUUAAAGAUGGUUUUCUUAUAACAGUUUGGCUACCUGUUGAUUCUCUUCUAACCAAAGAGGUGAAAAAGAUGAGUUGAGAAAAAAAGAUGCACACAGAGAGAGCAUGCAAGUCACCAGAACAUCUAAAGGCAGUCCUUAUCUGAAGACGUUCAGAGGGAAUGGCAGCGGUGGAUCCUUGGGUUAUUUGACAGCUUUGAAGAAACAAACUGGCCUGCUGUCAGUAUCCCCAUGGAGAGGAACUGAGGACAGCCUCUGACUAACAGUCAGGAAGAAAGAUCUUUCUCCAGCAAGAAGCAGCUCUUUCUAAAGUCCCAUCCUCAGAUGAGACUCUAACCCUGAUGGGCACAUUGAUUCCAGCUUUGUGAGAUCCUGAAGCAAAGGACCGAGGUAAGCAGUGCCCAGGAUCCUGACCCACAGAAACUGCAAGAAAAUAAAUGAACAGAAAAUUGAAAAGACGCCAUUGGAAAAUGGAGAAAAUGAAAAAAAUUAUGGAAAAACGUGGCCAGAUGUUGCUAUGCUUUGAUGAUCUAAGGGUCCAGCAGUGGAAGAACCAACCAGAUGUCCAGCUGCUUCGGAUCCUGACGAUGGGCGACACUAGGAAAAAAUAGCAUGAUGACUGACUGAACCUGAAAUUCCUAAACAAACAGUGCCUGCAGCCAAAGCUUCCAGAUAACGCUUUAUUGGAGGGAUUUAAUCCCAGGGAAAACGGAUUGAAAAAUUGGAAAGAAAGGCAGGGAAGAGCAAAUAUAACGUGGUGUGUUAACCAGCUGGCUACAGCUUCCCGAAAAACAUGUCUGCUUUCUCAGUCAAGUGUCAUGUCUCCAGAGACGUAUUAUGGAACCAUUGAGUUUCUGGUUGGCCCUUGUUUCCCUUCUCACUUGUUCAGUCAUCCCAAGGGGCACCGCCUCCCUGGCACUUCCGUGUUCUGUUGCAGCGUUUCCAGGCCCCCGCUGAAGAAGCCAGAGCUUCUGUGCGUGCAGUCUGGUCAGAGAAAGCACAGAAGGCUCUGUUGUCAGCUGGCACUGCCAGUGGGGGCUUCUAGUUCUGUGGCAGCUGGCAGCACUGCGGAAAGCAGCUGUGGCUAUUCGACUACUGGAGUGGCAUGAGACAACAGAAAGAUUGUCCUGGCCUAGAAGUAAGGCAAUUGGCUGAGGCCUGUCAGGAUGGCAGGUAAUCAUAUCUGGAAUAAAGAAUAAACUGAGUCUGGUGUAAUGAUACAACUCAAUCUGCUACCAAUUUACGCUCAAUGCAGAUCACUUUCAAAAUUGAAGGACAUAAUUCAGUGUAACUAAUUUUAAAAGGAAAAAUAAAGGUGUAGGAAGAGAGUUGGUGAAUAUUUGGGAGAGGAGGAAAGAGAAAAUAAAAAUGAACAUUUCAGAUAUCUUGCACUUGUGCUCAGAGUGAAAAUAUUUAUCAUUAUAUUUUGGACGCUGCAAUUUUUCUUCCCCUCUUUUCAAAUGGGGGCCAAGGAAUGUUCCCACAGAAGACGAAUCGGCUAAUCUCACAUCCAGGGGGAACUUUGGCUCAUAAUAUCCCAUGUUCACUUCCCUAUGUGUUAUUUUAUGUCCUACAGACUCAAGAAAUAGGCAGCUUUCACUGUGGGGACCACUUCCUCCUUCUCCUGCCCUGAUUUCUUUCUCGCUCUGCUGUCUCAAAAAAGAAAAUGAAAUAAACUAAAACAGGUACAAUUCCAUAGUUUGUUCUAUUGCUGAUAUCUCUCAAAUUAACAUAUCUUUUAAAAAAUAUUUUCUCUCUUUUUCUUGAUUUGUUUAAGUUUAUAUUGAGUAUAAUGCACAUAUAGAAAAAUGCACAAACCAGAAAUGUACAGCACCGUGAAUCAUCACAAAGCUAAGUAAAACCGAAGACAAAAAAUGAUACUGGCCUCCUGAUAUGGCCCCUGUCAAUCAUUAAUGCUCCUCCACUUUAUAAUUAUAAGUAAUAUAAUAAAGGAAUAAUAUAAUAAAUUUUUUUUAUAUAUUUAUACUAUAUAUGUAUAUAUAAAAGUAUUCAUCAUAAUCCUAGGUUCUAUCACUGUGGAUCAUUUUUGCCAGGAUUGUCUCUUUAUUUGCAUAGAAUCACACCAUUUGCAUUCUUAGUGUCUGGCUUUCUUUACACAGAACUACGUUUGUCAAAUUCAUCUAUGUUUUGCAUGUGUAACUCAUGUGGAGAUAGUAGUCCUUACCAUAGAUAUAUAAUAUUCCAUUGUAUGAAAAUACCAUAAUUUAUAUAUCCAUCCUACGUUUGAUGAAUAUUGGGUGGUUAAGGUUUUUAAUUAUCAUGAAGAAUGCCAUUAUGAAGAAGCUAUACAUGUCAUUUCCUGCAUAUGUGUCUGCAAUUCUGUUGGAUAUAGCCCCAAGAAUAAAAUUUUGGGUUGACAGAGUAUGUAUAUUUUUUAAUUCAGAAGAAAAUGCCAAAGAAUUUCCCACAAUACUUGUAGCAAUUUACACUCUAACCAGAAGAGUAUGAGUUCCCACUGCUUUUGAUAAAACUUGACCUGCAGACUUUUUGGCCGUUUUGCUGCAAGUUUAGUGGUACCCAUAGAGUGGUUUCACAGUGUGAUUAUCUUGCUUUGAACCCAUUUUCGUAACUUUACUGGUCAAUUAGAUAUUCUGGGUUUUGAUGCGCCUCUUCAAGACUUUCCCCCAUUAUUCU
This is a long non-coding RNA of Equus caballus (horse), 3523 nucleotides long. Lineage: Eukaryota; Metazoa; Chordata; Mammalia; Perissodactyla; Equidae. The record is from Ensembl.